This 75-nucleotide transfer RNA is filed under the name Candidatus Peregrinibacteria bacterium. RNAcentral's name for it is "tRNA-Met". It matches the Rfam family "tRNA". From Rfam's summary of the family: Transfer RNA (tRNA) molecules are approximately 80 nucleotides in length. Their secondary structure includes four short double-helical elements and three loops (D, anti-codon, and T loops). Further hydrogen bonds mediate the characteristic L-shaped molecular structure. tRNAs have two regions of fundamental functional importance: the anti-codon, which is responsible for specific mRNA codon recognition, and the 3' end, to which the tRNAs corresponding amino acid is attached (by aminoacyl-tRNA synthetases). tRNAs cope with the degeneracy of the genetic code in two manners: having more than one tRNA (with a specific anti-codon) for a particular amino acid; and 'wobble' base-pairing, i.e. permitting non-standard base-pairing at the 3rd anti-codon position. Lineage: Bacteria; Candidatus Peregrinibacteriota. RNAcentral also lists the same sequence under 1 other name. The record is from RNAcentral.
CGCGGGGUGGAGCAGUGGUAGCUCGCAAGGCUCAUAACCUUGAGGUCGGUGGUUCGAGUCCACCCCCCGCAACCA